Molecule: ribosomal RNA, 301 nt
Filed under: uncultured bacterium
Lineage: Bacteria
Description: partial 16S ribosomal RNA
Rfam family: Bacterial small subunit ribosomal RNA
Source: RNAcentral
CAGUCGCCGCGGGAAUACGGAGGGUGCAAGCGUUAAUCGGAAUUACUGGGCGUAAAGCGCACGCAGGCGGUCUGACAAGUCAGAUGUGAAAUCCCCGGGCUUAACCUGGGAACUGCAUUUGAAACUGUCAGGCUGGAGUCUUGUAGAGGGGGGUGGAAUUCCAGGUGUAGCGGUGAAAUGCGUAGAGAUCUGGAGGAAUACCGGUGGCGAAGGCGGCCCCCUGGACAAAGACUGACGCUCAGGUGCGAAAGCGUGGGGAGCAAACAGGAUUAGAUACCGGGUAGUCCCUGUCUCUUAUACA